RNAcentral lists this ribosomal RNA (305 nucleotides) under uncultured bacterium. RNAcentral's name for it is "bacterial SSU rRNA". It matches the Rfam family "Bacterial small subunit ribosomal RNA", at positions 337 to 660 of the family's 1533-position model. The record is from RNAcentral.
CCCUACGGGGGGCAGCAGUGGGGAAUAUUGCACAAUGGGGGGAACCCUGAUGCAGCGACGCCGCGUGGGUGAGGAAGUACUUCGGUAUGUAAAGCCCUAUCAGCAGGGAAGAAAAUGACGGUACCUGAAAAAGAAGCUCCGGCUAAAUACGUGCCAGCAGCCGCGGUAAUACGUAGGGAGCGAGCGUUGUCCGGAAUUACUGGGUGUAAAGGGAGCGUAGGCGGGCUUGUAAGUUGAAUGUCUAAUCCACCGGCUCAACCGGUGAUCGCGUUCAAAACUGCAGGUCUUGAGUGAAGUAGAGGCAG